ACGCUCGACACCUACGGGAGGUAGCAGUGGGGAAUAUUGCACAAUGGGGGAAACCCUGAUGCAGCGACGCCGCGUGGAGGAAGAAGGUCUUCGGAUUGUAAACUCCUGUUGUUGGGGAAAAAGAGGAUGGUACCCAACAAGGAAGUGACGGCUAACUACGUGCCAGCAGCCUCGGUAAUCUGAGCGGGCUGGCAAGGC
RNAcentral lists this ribosomal RNA (198 nucleotides) under uncultured bacterium. RNAcentral describes it as "partial 16S ribosomal RNA". It matches the Rfam family "Bacterial small subunit ribosomal RNA", at positions 328 to 539 of the family's 1533-position model. The record is from RNAcentral.